CUUCAUAGGAGCCUAAUGCCCUUAAGUGGACAUUUGAGGAACUGCAUUAUUAAUGUAUAUUUAUUUUUUUAAGUAUUUAUUUUGGGCGAUUUUACCCUUUAUUGACAGGACAUGGUGAAAUGUGGGGAGACAGAGAGAGAAGACAGAGACAGAGGGGGAGGACAUGCAGCACAUGGUCAGAGCUGGACUCGAACCUGUGACUGCUGUCCCCAUGUAUGGGGCGCGCUCACCCACUGCAUGCCCCACUGCAGGUUCUUUUAACUACUCUUAUGACUUCCUUUUUAACGCUGGAGGUUACCACUCGGUUAAAUCAGGAAGUAAAAAUGCUGGGCUGUGUCUUAAAAUAUUGAACAUACUGAAGAGUUGUGGUGCAAACAUCUUUAAAGACUCUUUAGUCCAUCAUGAGACUGUAAACCUUUAGCAGCCCUUGAAGGCAGCUGACCUGUUCCACCUAUUGAGUGGGGCAGGUGAGUCCUCUCGACUCCACAGUCGAUUUUUCCUGACCUGUGAGGUAACUCAGGAUGAACAAAUCAAUCGUGCUCUGCUAUGUGAAUUCAGUUUUCAUUAAAAAGCAAAACAUAAAACCCAUCACAGCUCUAAUGACAGGAGAUCUCUCCUCCCAGCAACCUUAUUUAAUAUUCACCCGGCUGCGCUGCUCUCACUCUGUGAUGGUCUAUGCCCUUUGAGUUAAACCAAGACAUAUGUGACAUUUGUAGCCUCAGAUCUUUACCAGAGAGCAGCACUCAGCUUUAAAGACAGAGAGGAGAGCGCCAUCCAGUCCUUGACACCAGUAUCUCCUCUCAGAAGAAGAUCACUCUUAUAAAUUGGCACCUGAAGGCUUUCAGCAGAACCAGCAUGGCCACAGAUCAGCAGUGUCAUGGGGAUCUCCCUGCUGCUGCAGCCUGCAGCAAUGUGAUGGCUCGCUGCAGCAGGAAGGCCAUGAAAACUGCAGCAGAAGGAACAUAAAGAACAGCUCCUAAACCACCAAAUCCAAAAUAAAUUCCCCCCUGUCGGCUUUAAAUGAGCAGAAAAUAGAGCCUCUGUUUCCCCCUGCAUCUUACAAAAAAGAGCUGCAGAGUCCACCCGCCCUGCAAUCCCCAGAUGUGCACAGCCUGAGGCUGGAGCUGAUGGGAUACAAAAAAAGGAGACCUUUCCAGCUUGACCUAUCAGUUCCCUGUCAAUACAUCUUCCCCUCCUUGAGCAAUGACCUCUGACCUCUGAGGCAGCCAACAGGAGGUGGAAGAGUCACAGGGAGAAGGGAAAGGCAGGAAGACAGCGUCUAAUUCAUCUGAAGAGUGGGAACAGAUAGAUGGAGGCAGGCAGGCUGGCAGCGCUUUUUCAGCAAGGUAAUGACGCGUGGUGUUUUCAGUCGCUAAGUGUGUGCAUGUGUGUGUGUGUUUCUGGGUUUGGUGAUAACACACAGAGAGGACUCCAUGUGGGGAUUCACAUAAAGGAGGGCAGAGGAGAGAGGGAGCGAGGAGGGAGGGAAGGGGGCUGAAAAAAAAGGAGAAAAACAAAAGAAGAAGACGGAUAUGGAGGAAGUACGGGAUGCAGUGACAGAGCGGGUGCGGAGUGAGACGUCAGCAAGUGAUGGAGGUGCAGCGGAGGUGAGCGCAGAGGGAGGUGAUGUGUAUGGGUAGAGAUGGAGAGGCUCCUGCACUUAUCGUCCGUCAUCAGAGCUCCAGCCGGGGCCCCCUGUCCUCCUACACUGAGCCCCAGGAGAGGAGCCUGGGCAUGGGCCACUUAGACACUGACAGACCUCCUGCCUGGAUACUUUAUCAUCGGGAGCAGAAGGGAGGAGAAGAGAGGAGGGGAGCAGACAGGAGCCAGGGGGGAGACAUCGAGGACAGCUUCUCACAAGGUGCAGGAAGAGACGCUCCCUCCAAGAUCUUAUAGUGAUUUGAAAUGAGAUAAAUCCUGUCUUAAAGGUGGGGUAGUCAGGAUCUGAGGAAGUGCCUAUUUUUGGGAAAAAUCUUGAAUGUAAACUCUACCCCUCCCAACCAGUUUUCCCCUCAGCUCCUCCUCUCUCCUUCCUCUCUGCUCCAGCAAGCCCCGCCCACAAACAAACGCUCUCUCAGUCAACGUGGAAGUUGACUGGGCCCCAUUGGUGCUACUGUAGACGCCAACAGACUACCAGCAAACACAAUGUUUGCAGGACUUCUACAACUAAGAUAAAGUGACAUAGUCCAGGACCCGAGGUCAACAGUUUAGUGGCGCUACAACACACAGCAGGUCCAGUUUGAUAAGAAACACUUCUGUUACAGA
Xyrichtys novacula (pearly razorfish) is the source of this 2265-nucleotide non-coding RNA. NCBI's taxonomy places the organism in Eukaryota, Metazoa, Chordata, Actinopteri, Labriformes, Labridae. The record is from the annotation of a GenBank genome assembly.